GUGUCAGCCGCCGCGGUAAUACGGGGGGGCAAGCGUUGUUCGGAAUUACUGGGCGUAAAGGGUUCGUAGGUGGCUCGCUAAGUCAGACGUGAAAUCCCUCAGCUUAACUGGGGAACUGCGUCUGAGACUGGUGAGCUUGAGUGCAGGAGAGGAACGCGGAAUUCCAGGUGUAGCGGUGAAAUGCGUAGAUAUCUGGAGGAACACCGGUGGCGAAGGCGGCGUUCUGGACUGCAACUGACACUGAGGAACGAAAGCCAGGGGAGCAAACGGGAUUAGAUACCCUGGUAGUCC
This 291-nucleotide ribosomal RNA is filed under the name uncultured bacterium. RNAcentral describes it as "partial 16S ribosomal RNA". It matches the Rfam family "Bacterial small subunit ribosomal RNA", at positions 505 to 796 of the family's 1533-position model. The record is from RNAcentral.